RNAcentral lists this ribosomal RNA (448 nucleotides) under uncultured bacterium. RNAcentral describes it as "bacterial SSU rRNA". It matches the Rfam family "Bacterial small subunit ribosomal RNA", at positions 355 to 825 of the family's 1533-position model. The record is from RNAcentral.
UGGGGAAUUUUGGACAAUGGGCGAAAGCCUGACGCAGCGACGCCGCGUGGACGAUGAAGGUCUUCGGAUCGUAAAGUCCUUUUCUGCGUGACGAGGAAGGACGGUAGCGCAGGAAUAAGUGUCGGCUAACUACGUGCCAGCAGCCGCGGUAACACGUAGGACGCAAGCGUUAUCCGGAAUUACUGGGCGUAAAGGGCGUGUAGGCGGCACGGUAAGUCAACCGUGAAAGCUCCCGGCUAAACUGGGAGAGGUCGGAUGAGACUGCCGAGCUAGAGGGUCGUAGAGGGGUGUGGAAUUCCGGGUGUAGUGGUGAAAUGCGUAGAGAUCCGGAGGAACACCAGAGGCGAAGGCGGCACCCUGGACGACACCAGACGCUGAGACGCGACAGCACGGGGAGCGAACGGGAUUAGAUACCCCUGUAGUCCCUGAGCGGGCUGGCAAGGCGCAU